UACGUAGGGUGCAAGCGUUGUCCGGAAUUAUUGGGCGUAAAGAGCUCGUAGGCGGUUUGUCGCGUCUGCUGUGAAAACCUAGGGCUUAACCCUGGGCCUGCAGUGGGUACGGGCAGACUAGAGUGCGGUAGGGGGAGACUGGAAUUCCUGGUGUAGCGGUGAAAUGCGCAGAUAUCAGGAGGAACACCGGUGGCGAAGGCGGGUCUCUGGGCCGUAACUGACGCUGAGGAGCGAAAGCGUGGGGAGCAAACAGG
This 254-nucleotide ribosomal RNA is filed under the name uncultured bacterium. Its description in RNAcentral is "partial 16S ribosomal RNA". It matches the Rfam family "Bacterial small subunit ribosomal RNA", at positions 524 to 776 of the family's 1533-position model. The record is from RNAcentral.